This is an RNA transcript of Suricata suricatta (meerkat), 1751 nucleotides long. It is a transcript of the gene named tRNA isopentenyltransferase 1, with no coding region annotated. The record is from RefSeq and is a predicted model, not a curated record. The transcript is spliced from 12 exons. Lineage: Eukaryota; Metazoa; Chordata; Mammalia; Carnivora; Herpestidae.
GAUGGCGGCUGCGGCGGCUGCACGAGCAGCUUCUGUGGGCUCCGGGUUCCGGGGUCUGCAACGGACACUGCCUCUUGUAGUGAUUCUUGGGGCGACGGGCACCGGCAAAUCCACCCUGGCGUUGCAGCUAGGCCAACGGCUGGGUGGCGAAAUCGUCAGCGCUGAUUCCAUGCAGGUUUAUGAAGGCUUAGACAUCAUCACCAACAAGGUUUCUGCCCAAGAGCAGAGAAUGUGCCGGCACCACAUGAUCAGCUUUGUGGAUCCUCUUGUGACAAAUUACACCGUUGUGGACUUCAGGAACAAGGCAACUGCUCUGAUUGAAGAUAUAUUUGGCCGAGACAAAAUUCCUAUUGUCGUGGGAGGAACCAAUUAUUACAUUGAGUCUCUGCUCUGGAAAGUUCUUGUCAAUACUAAGCCCCAGGAGAUGGACACCGAGAAGGUGACUGACCGGAAAGUAGAGCUUGAAAAGGAGGAUGGCCAUGUGCUCCACAAACGCCUAAGCCAGGUGGACCCAGAAAUGGCUGCCAAGCUGCACCCACAUGACAAGCGCAAAGUGGCCAGGAGCUUGCAAGUGUUUGAAGAAACGGGAAUCUCUCAUAGUGAAUUUCUUCAUCGUCAACAUGCGGAGGAAGGUGGUGGUCCCCUUGGAGGCCCUCUGAAGUUCCCUCACCUUUGCAUCCUCUGGCUUCAUGCUGACCAGACAGUUCUAGAUGAGCGCUUGGAGAAGAGGGUGGAUGACAUGCUCGCUGCUGGGCUCUUGGAUGAACUAAGAGAUUUUCACAGGCGCUAUAAUCAGAAGAAAGUUGCAGAAAACAGCCAGGACUAUCAACAUGGUAUCUUCCAAUCCAUUGGCUUCAAGGAAUUCCACGAGUACCUUGUCACUGAGGGAAAAUGCACACCGGAGACCAGUAACCAGCUCCUAAGGAAAGGUAUUGAGUCUCUGAAACAAGUGACCAAGAGAUAUGCCCGGAAGCAAAACCGAUGGGUUAAAAACCGCUUUUUGAGCAGACCUGGUCCCAGUGUCCCCCCAGUAUAUGGCUUAGAAGUAUCUGAUGUCUCGAAGUGGGAGGAAUCUGUUCUUGUACCAGCUCUUGAAAUCGUGCAGAGUUUCAUCCAGGGCCACAAGCCUAUAGCUGCUCCAGUAAAGAUGCCAUGCAGUGAAACGGAGAACAAGAGAAGUUUUCACAUGUGUGACCUCUGCGAUCGAAUCAUCAUUGGGGACCGUGAAUGGGCAGCACAUAUAAAAUCCAAAUCCCACUUGCACCAACUGAAGAAAAGAAGAAGAUUGGACUCAGAUGCUGUUGCUACCAUAGAAAAUCAGAGUAUUUCUCCAGACUGUGACAAAGAGCUUAGGGAGAAAGGAUUCUCAGAGCAGAAUGAGAAAGAGGUGAAGUCCAGUGUUUAAGAGACAUGUCCCGGAGCCUUUGCACCGGUGGGGCCCCGCUUCGGGAAGGAGGGUCAGAUACUUUUAUAGAUGAUUGAGGUCUUGUGAGCCACAGAUCAGGAGUUCUGGAUUUGAGUGGAUGGCAGGAACGGACCAGCCCCAGUGAGAUGGUCAAGUGAACUCAGCCAGCUCUUGGAAUUCCAUGGAGAAGGAGAGAAGGAGGUGUUCGUGACGUGGUGCCUGAAAACUAAAGACUUCGGCAUUUGCUGCGCGCCUCCUGUGUGAUAAUUACCAUCACUGCUGUCUUUCUAUUGAGUUAGAAGUCUAUAUAUUUUUUGAAAGUUAAAUAAAGAAAAAGUUCCCAAGA